GUGUUCAUUUUGGCAGCAUAUAUACUAACAUUGGAACUACACAGAUAUUAGCAUGGGCACUACACAAGGAUGACAUGCAAAUGCAUGACGUUUUGUGUAUUUUU
Molecule: small nuclear RNA, 104 nt
Organism: Manis pentadactyla (Chinese pangolin)
Lineage: Eukaryota; Metazoa; Chordata; Mammalia; Pholidota; Manidae
Source: RefSeq, a predicted model, not a curated record